This is a long non-coding RNA of Amphiprion ocellaris (clown anemonefish), 1043 nucleotides long. The record is from Ensembl. NCBI's taxonomy places the organism in Eukaryota, Metazoa, Chordata, Actinopteri, Pomacentridae.
CAAAAAUCUUUCAGAGCAGCACUAACUACAGUUUACUACAGUAAAGAUAAUAAUUAUAAUAACAAUAAUAUAUACAAGAAUGAAAAAUGAAUAAAUACCGUAUUACUACACUAUAAGUGACAUCAGCAUAAAGUGGCUUGUGGAAUACAUGUAAUUGUAAAAGUGCAGAAAAUGCCAGCAGUGCAAGGAGUUGUGGAGAUUUUCUCAAAACAGGUGAGUCCUGUGAAUAUGACCAAAAUAUGAGAUAAAACUACCAGAAACAUGUACAAAAUGACCAAAAUAUGAUUGGUUGAUAAUGUAUCAGUGUUGUUAUUGAUUAUUGAUCGGUUGCAGGGACAGAGAUUUGUGUCUUGAGUCUCUGCUGUCAUCUAAUCCCUCUCAUGUAAGAUCAUGUCACAGGAGGGGGCGCUACUGACCUCUUGUGGACACAGGCGGUAACGACACGACAUUAUUACUAACUGUAUAGCUUGCGACAUUACAGGUGAGCAGCACUUCCUGUUCAUCUUCAACGUAAAAGCAUCUUUCUUUCGUGUACAUUUCAUGUCAAACGUAUUGCUAAGCGAUUUAGGUCGAUUCAGAAGGAUCUCUGGUGUAAACCAAGUCGUAUUUAACGACAGCUAGCUUCUCCACUUGCUCCGAUUACUUUUGUUGUAGUCUGAGUCACGUCCAAACAGGAAAUGAAUCCACAAUGUAGCUAAUGACAAUCUAUAGCUGCGUCUGUGAUGGCAGCGUUAGCGAGCUAGCAGCUAAUCAGAAGCUAGUGACAAGCUAACUCCAGCGCUACCAGCAGCGUCUCUUUAAAAGGUGCUGAUCACGAUAUCAGGCUGAAACAUUAGACCCGGGACAGGAAACGGAGCUAGAGCUCUGUGUCUUGGAGAGAAUUGAUUUUAGAAUUACACGUGUUAAGGUAUUAGUCCGUGUCAUAACAAACCCUCGUUAGCACUUCCGCUAGCUCGGCUAACACUUCCGGUCACGAAUGCAUUUGUACAUUACCUAUAACGUGUUCAUUUUUGAACGUAUAGUGACAACAAACACAAUCUGAG